This 460-nucleotide ribosomal RNA is filed under the name uncultured bacterium. RNAcentral describes it as "partial 16S ribosomal RNA". It matches the Rfam family "Bacterial small subunit ribosomal RNA", at positions 338 to 795 of the family's 1533-position model. The record is from RNAcentral.
CCUACGGGUGGCAGCAGUGAGGAAUAUUGGUCAAUGGGCGUUAGCCUGAACCAGCCAAGUCGCGUGAAGGAUGACUGCUCUAUGGGUUGUAAACUUCUUUUAUAUGGGAAUAAAGUGCAGUAUGUAUACUGUUUUGCAUGUACCUUAUGAAUAAGGAUCGGCUAACUCCGUGCCAGCAGCCGCGGUAAUACGGAGGAUCCGAGCGUUAUCCGGAUUUAUUGGGUUUAAAGGGAGCGUAGGCGGGUUUUUAAGUCAGUGGUGAAAGUUUGCGGCUCAAACAUAAAAUUGCAGUUGAUACUGGGAUGCUUGAGUACAGUUGAGGUAGGCGGAAUGCGUGGUGUAGCGGUGAAAUGCUUAGAUAUCACGAAGAACUCCGAUUGCGAAGGCAGCCUGCUAGACCGUAACUGACGCUGAUGCACGAAAGUGUGGGUAUCAAACAGGAUUAGAUACCCGGGUAGUC